GUUCUCGCUUCAGCAGCACAUAUACUAAAAUCGGAAGGGUGCAGAGAAGAUCAGCAUGGCUUCUGGGUAAGAAUGGCAUGCAAACUCAUGAGGUGUUCCACACUUUG
Apodemus sylvaticus (European woodmouse) is the source of this 107-nucleotide small nuclear RNA. The record is from RefSeq and is a predicted model, not a curated record. Lineage: Eukaryota; Metazoa; Chordata; Mammalia; Rodentia; Muridae.